UUACGAGAUUAAAGACAAUUU
Molecule: non-coding RNA, 21 nt
Organism: Caenorhabditis elegans
Lineage: Eukaryota; Metazoa; Nematoda; Chromadorea; Rhabditida; Rhabditidae
Source: Ensembl